AUUGAACGCUGGCGGCAGGCCUAACACAUGCAAGUCGAGCGGAUGAAGGGAGCUUGCUCCUGGAUUCAGCGGCGGACGGGUGAGUAAUGCCUAGGAAUCUGCCUGGUAGUGGGGGAUAACGUCCGGAAACGGGCGCUAAUACCGCAUACGUCCUGAGGGAGAAAGUGGGGGAUCUUCGGACCUCACGCUAUCAGAUGAGCCUAGGUCGGAUUAGCUAGUUGGUGGGGUAAAGGCCUACCAAGGCGACGAUCCGUAACUGGUCUGAGAGGAUGAUCAGUCACACUGGAACUGAGACACGAUCCAGACUCCUACGGGAGGCAGCAGUGGGGAAUAUUGGACAAUGGGCGAAAGCCUGAGCCAGCCAUGCGGCGUGUGUGAAGAAGGUCUUCGGAUUGUAAAGCACUUUAAGUUGGGAGGAAGGGCAGUAAGUUAAUACCUUGCUGUUUUGACGUUACCAACAGAAUAAGCACCGGCUAACUUCGUA
This 484-nucleotide ribosomal RNA is filed under the name uncultured bacterium. RNAcentral's name for it is "partial 16S ribosomal RNA". It matches the Rfam family "Bacterial small subunit ribosomal RNA", at positions 30 to 507 of the family's 1533-position model. The record is from RNAcentral.